CCCCUUUCACAGCCACCUACCUCACGAGUCCACAAUGGGGCCUCCAACAAGGGACUGAGAACAAGGGUCAUAGCUUUCCUUCUGGGCCGAUAGUCUCAGCUCAGUGCAUUUGCCACCCCCUAACCUGUUCCCAGCUUAUCUUAGGAUGAUCAGAAUCUCUCCUGCCAGGCUUUCUGCACAAGGUCACCUACAUGUUCCAGUGGUUGCUCCUAGCCUUGUGUACCCCCUGCCCAGGAAUGGAAAAAAAAAUAUUUUAAAGAGCCAGUCUUACCUGUUUUCCAUCUUCCACCACUGAGGACAGAACAGGAAAAUCAAAGAAUCACCCAUCAGAGCUGUGAUAGUCAAGGACCACCCCAUACCUGAGCAAGAACUCCCUUUAUGACAUAUUUGACAAGUGAGCUUUCAGGCUCCAGUGAAGUCUCCCCCUCUGGGCCAGCACAUUCCACUUGGUGAUAAGUUGUCAUUGUUAGAAUGAUGCUCCCUUACACGGAGUCUAAAUUUGUCUCUCUGUCACUUGUCAGUCAGUUGACAAGCAUUUAUAAAGCAAUUACUAGGACCUGUGCUAAGUGCCAGGAAUACAAAGAAAGACAGAAACAUGGGCCUUCACCUGGAGGAGUUUAUGCUAUGAUGGGAGAGAUCUACAACAGUUUGCCAACAGGAUCCUGGAGAGGGUUUUGUUCUAGAAUUGAUUCCAUACUGACUACUAACCAAAGUCUGAAGAUUUUGUCAACCAUUGAUCACUACAAACAAUAUCUGAAGAUUAUGUCAUCUACUGACCACAGCAACUAAGGAUUAAGUAAGCUACUGAUCACUACAAUGUUUGAGGACUACAUCAGGACAAUGUCACUACCUUGGCAGGGAUGCAUAAAACUUACAUGGAGGUCAUGUCAGAAUGAACAGAAUUCAAGAAUUUAGGUAGAAAGGGUGGCCAAGAUGAUAUAUAAUAAUCAUUAAAAAAAUGUUACAUUAACCUGGAUCUAUUAUACAUCUGGACCACAAAAGGGCUGUACUACAACUUUAUCAACCCUCCCAGUUCCCCCUCUCUUGAAGUUUCCAAAUUGAUGAAUUUACCUGGGAGCACUUGGAAAGUUUUUUUUUUUUUAAUGGUGAUCUGGGAAGGGUUGGUCAGCUAGUCCUAGCUAUGUCACCACAAUUGUAUGAAUUUUUUAUUGGUUCUCAACUUUUGCCAGUAAGUUAUCACAAAUUAGAGAAACAGGCUUUAUUAUACAUUUAGCGUGUGAUACAGCUCACCAGAAGUUGACGGGAAUGUGUGUCAUUCACAAUUCAGCUAGUAGAAUUUAUUACAUGAAACAAAGAAAAAAAGAUGGUUGUUUAUUAUAGUGCAACUGGUUAUACAAAUUAAAAAGUGUGCUUGUUAAGAAGAAUGUAUAUCAUUAACUACAGGAAAUAGAAAAGGGAUAUAUGUCUUUGUUAGUAUAGCUAGUUUCAUUAAAUCAAAGGAACUACCUGCCAGGCUAGAUAAAGGAGGGAAGCAUUCCAAAGACUACAAUCUUUUUUUAAGUAAUUAAGUCAUUUUGUACCAAUUAGGGAAGCAAAUAAAGAUUGUGAAGGGAACCA
Molecule: long non-coding RNA, 1578 nt
Filed under: Monodelphis domestica (gray short-tailed opossum)
Lineage: Eukaryota; Metazoa; Chordata; Mammalia; Didelphimorphia; Didelphidae
Description: lncRNA (ENSMODG00000045829.1)
Source: RNAcentral